This 474-nucleotide ribosomal RNA is filed under the name uncultured bacterium. RNAcentral's name for it is "bacterial SSU rRNA". It matches the Rfam family "Bacterial small subunit ribosomal RNA", at positions 335 to 802 of the family's 1533-position model. The record is from RNAcentral.
ACUCCUACGGGAGGCAGCAGUGGGGAAUAUUGCACAAUGGGGGAAACCCUGAUGCAGCCAUGCCGCGUGUGUGAAGAAGGCCUUCGGGUUGUAAAGCACUUUCAGUAGGGAGGAAGGUAGUGUAGUUAACACCUGCAUUAUUUGACGUUACCUACAGAAGAAGCACCGGCUAACUCCGUGCCAGCACGCCGCGGUAACGUAACGGAGGGUGCGAGCGUUAAUCGGAAUUACUGGGCGUAAAGCGCAUGCAGGCGGCCUGUUAAGUCAGAUGUGAAAGCCCGGGGCUUAACCUCGGAAUUGCAUUUGAAACUGGCAGGCUAGAGUCUUGUAAGAGGGGUAGAAUUUCAGGUGUAGCGGUGAAAUGCGUAGAGAUCUGAAGGAUACCAGUGGCGAAGGCGGCCCCUGGACAAAGACUGACGCUCAGAUGCGAAAGCGUGGGAGCAAACAGGAUUAGAUACCCCUGGUAGACUGUCA